UCAAAUUGAAACUUGCUUUAGUUCGAACCAACGUGAUAGAGGUAAGACGUCUACUGCCACAAAAAAACUGCUGAAUCGCUCUUCAUUGUAAAAUAUUACUAUUCUGGGUAAAUUUCAUGUUCGCUAUACCUUCUUUUCUAUAAUUUCGUUGCUUGUGAAUGAUGAGCCUCUUUUUUCUCAGAUGACUUGGAUUUGGUUAUGCUUCUCAAACAAGGGAGGAAGUAGGAGGGUCAAUGCCCUGGUGAGGGCAGACAGUGUAGAGGAGCUAAGGGAGAAAGGAAAAAGUGCGCUUAGACUUCAGGGAGCCGUGGUAGACAUGACUCUUGAGGAUGGCACUGUCAUCAAUAAUGACAGUCAGGUCAUGUUUGCUGCCCUCUCUGAAGAAAUUGAGGUCAAUUUUGAAAUAAUUGAGAUUGAAAGAACUGCAGUACAAAAUUGGAACCUUUUUUUGAAAUUAUAUUUUUACAAUUAGUUUCAAUUUUUUUAAUUAUUUUAAAUCUUCUGUAGCAAAAUUGUAGUAUCUCUGUUGGAAAUUCAUUCUAAAUUUAAACAGUUCCCAAUCAAUAUUCUGAAUACGAUCGUAUCCCAGGCCCAUCCACCCUUGCCCUUAAUUUUCUACAAAAAAUUUUUACGAGGGAAUAUAAAAUUCAAAAUAUCCGUUUUGUCAUUCCCUUUCUCAACUUGGAUGCCUUUCUUUUAAAAAGGGGCAAGGUAUUCUAGACAGAGAGAUAUCUUCAUCAAAAUUGGCUGGACUUGAUUGGACAAAGUGUAAAAGAUUGGGUGUUUUGGUGGGGGUAAGCACAAAUGCUCUGGUAGGUUUUAAGCCCGAAGAGCUAAAUUUAGAGACGUUUUGGACAAGAUCACAGAGUCUGUGGACCCUCCAAACAAAAAACAAAGUUAUUUACCAGACGACACAAGAUAUUGACAGAUCAUAAGGUUACGGUAAAGGUUUUCUGGAAGAGAACAUCAAUUUUUCGAACUUUCCGAACUUUCAAGGCACAUAACGAUACCAAAUUUAAAACUAACAGAAAUUUUAAAAAAUGGAAAAAAAUCUAUGUAAACGAAGGUUGUAAUUUACAUUGAUUCUCAAAUGCGAGGGGGCAAUAUCUAUUGUUGAAAGUAAUGCAUCUUAGACAGCAUGACAGACAUAAAAUAUUACAAGGUUUAAAGGCAAA
Rhopilema esculentum is the source of this 1175-nucleotide long non-coding RNA. RefSeq lists it as uncharacterized. Lineage: Eukaryota; Metazoa; Cnidaria; Scyphozoa; Rhizostomeae; Rhizostomatidae. The record is from RefSeq and is a predicted model, not a curated record.